Molecule: unclassified non-coding RNA, 253 nt
Filed under: uncultured Paracoccaceae bacterium
Lineage: Bacteria; Pseudomonadati; Pseudomonadota; Alphaproteobacteria; Rhodobacterales; Paracoccaceae
Description: uncultured Rhodobacteraceae bacterium contains 16S-23S intergenic spacer region
Rfam family: Bacterial small subunit ribosomal RNA
Source: RNAcentral
UACGGAGGGGGCUAGCGUUGUUCGGAAUGACUGGGCGUAAAGCGCGCGUAGGCGGAUCAGAAAGUUGGGGGUGAAAUCCCGGGGCUCAACCCUGGAAUGGCCUUCAAAACUCCUGGUCUUGAGUUCGAGAGAGGUGAGUGGAAUUCCGAGUGUAGAGGUGAAAUUCGUAGAUAUUCGGAGGAACACCAGUGGCGAAGGCGGCUCACUGGCUCGAUACUGACGCUGAGGUGCGAAAGCGUGGGGAGCAAACAGG